RNAcentral lists this ribosomal RNA (483 nucleotides) under uncultured bacterium. RNAcentral's name for it is "partial 16S ribosomal RNA". It matches the Rfam family "Bacterial small subunit ribosomal RNA", at positions 29 to 507 of the family's 1533-position model. The record is from RNAcentral.
UUGAACGCUGGCGGCAUGCUUUACACAUGCAAGUCGAACGGCAGCGCGGGCUUCGGCCUGGCGGCGAGUGGCGAACGGGUGAGUAAUACAUCGGAACGUGCCCAGUAGUGGGGGAUAGCUCGGCGAAAGCCGGAUUAAUACCGCAUACGACCUGAGGGUGAAAGCGGGGGAUCUUCGGACCUCGCGCUAUUGGAGCGGCCGAUGGCAGAUUAGCUAGUUGGUGGGGUAAAGGCCUACCAAGGCGACGAUCUGUAGCUGGCCUGAGAGGACGACCAGCCACACUGGGACUGAGACACGGCCCAGACUCCUACGGGAGGCAGCAGUGGGGAAUUUUGGACAAUGGGCGAAAGCCUGAUCCAGCAAUGCCGCGUGUGUGAUGAAGGCCUUCGGGUUGUAAAGCACUUUUGGCGGGAACGAAAAGGACUGUGCCAAUACCACGGUUCGAUGACGGUACCCGCAGAAUAAGCACCGGCUAACUACGUG